Molecule: long non-coding RNA, 585 nt
Filed under: Gossypium barbadense (sea-island cotton)
Lineage: Eukaryota; Viridiplantae; Streptophyta; Magnoliopsida; Malvales; Malvaceae
Description: long non-coding RNA (GBAR_LNC005624)
Source: RNAcentral
UCUUACAAUCCCCACUAACCUCUCCAAAUCCCUUUUGAAGCCAAAGCUAAACUCCAAACUCACCCCCAAAGUUUCACGAUCAUUGGUGGUAUGCUCCACCGACAAGACUUCAUCGCCACCAUCAUCAGCUUCAUCACUCCAAGCCUUCUCAGCAGCUCUUGCUCUUUCUUCCAUUCUUCUCUCAGCCCCACAGCCUGCCGUAGCUGAUAUUGCAGGCCUCACACCAUGCAAAGAGUCCAAGCAAUUCGCCAAACGUGAGAAGCAGCAGAUCAAGAAGCUGGAAUCGUCGUUGAAGCUAUACGCCCCUGACAGCGCUCCAGCUCUCGCUAUCAAAGCAACCAUCGAGAAAACCAAGAGACGGUUUGACAACUACGGGAAGUACGGGCUGCUGUGUGGGUCUGAUGGGUUGCCUCAUUUGAUAGUAAGCGGUGAUCAGAGGCACUGGGGUGAGUUCAUCACGCCUGGUCUCUUGUUCUUGUACAUCGCUGGAUGGAUCGGGUGGGUUGGAAGGAGCUACCUCAUUGCUAUUAGCGAUGAUAAGAAGCCUGCCAUGAAGGAGAUCAUCAUUGAUGUGCCUUUGGCUAC